This 429-nucleotide ribosomal RNA is filed under the name Bacteroidota bacterium. RNAcentral describes it as "Bacteroidetes bacterium partial 16S ribosomal RNA". It matches the Rfam family "Bacterial small subunit ribosomal RNA", at positions 355 to 776 of the family's 1533-position model. The record is from RNAcentral. Lineage: Bacteria; Pseudomonadati; Bacteroidota.
UAGGGAAUCUUCGGCAAUGGGGGGAACCCUGACCGAGCAACGCCGCGUGAGUGAAGAAGGUUUUCGGAUCGUAAAGCUCUGUUGUUAAGGAAGAACGAGUGUGAGAAUGGAAAGUUCAUACUGUGACGGUACUUAACCAGAAAGGGACGGCUAACUACGUGCCAGCAGCCGCGGUAAUACGUAGGUCCCGAGCGUUGUCCGGAUUUAUUGGGCGUAAAGCGAGCGCAGGCGGUUAGAUAAGUCUGAAGUUAAAGGCAGUGGCUCAACCAUUGUAGGCUUUAGAAGCUGUUUAACUUGAGUGCAGAAGGGGGGAGUGGAAUUCCAUGUGUAGCGGUGAAAUGCGUAGAUAUAUGGAGGAACACCGGUGGCGAAAGCGGCUCUCUGGUCUGUAACUGACGCAGAGGCUCGAAAGCGUGGGGAGCGAACAGG